This 1211-nucleotide long non-coding RNA is filed under the name Anas platyrhynchos platyrhynchos (common mallard). RNAcentral describes it as "lncRNA (ENSAPLG00000018283.1)". Lineage: Eukaryota; Metazoa; Chordata; Aves; Anseriformes; Anatidae. The record is from RNAcentral.
GAUACUGCACUAUGAAGCUUAUGGAGCAGAACAUGAUAAGAAAGGACCUCUCUGACUCCUUCAACUGCUUAAUAAUUAACUGUACACUUACAUGCACAGAAUUGAUUCUGUGAUGGUUGGUCUUUCAGCAAGUAACUGAAACCUUCAUGUAAGAAGAGAAGAUAGAGUCCUGUUUCUUUAUGAAUCCUUUCACAGAUCCAGUCUAACAGUAAAGAUCUAGGAAGGAGUCCCGCUCAGAUGGUGGAUUUAGAGCUUUCAUUAUAGGGACAUUUCUCAGAAUGAAGAUGGAAAAUAGGAAAAUCAGUGCAGGAGAAGAAUAAGGAACACCAUAAAAUUAACUCAGAUACUUCAGCUUUGUUGAUAAUAUGGGCAGAGGGUGUAAUAAUGAUAGUUGGCUCCUCUGUCUAUUCAGUUUGCUUAUGUAGCUUGCCAUAGUAUAUUCUCCUAUGCUUUUAUCUUUGUGAUAUAACUCAAUAAAAAUGUAUUUUAGCUUUGUUCAUGCCUAAGACAUGGUUAAAUUGAAUAUUUAAAUGUGUCUGUUUCCAGGCAGCAUGACCUGUUGGUUUUCACCAUUAUCAUCAUCAAGAGCCACUGGAUUUGCCUCCUGAAUCAUCAGGUAGCACAAGUUAUGGUGACCCUGAUGCCAUGCAUGGAAACCAUCCUAGUAAUUGCAGAAAGGGAAGGUGGAAGUCAACGUUAACAUUUUCAAGCCUGACUUCUGUCCAAAUUGUGAAUCUAUAUCCUCAAAUCAAAGUAACUUUGUGUAAAUAUGGAAAUUGUUUCAAGGCCAAAUCUUCAUUGCUGAUGUCACUGCUGAGCAUGCCAUUCAGAUGAAAGAACAAAACCGAAAGCUCCACAGGGGGCAAAGAGAGAAAUUGUCUGUGUAGAUCCAUGCCUCUUGCUUCUUCCAUGAAAUCCUCCGUCUUGGCACUCCCUUCAGUGCUGUAGGUCUGGAGGCACACAGCACAACUUAUCAGAUUUCUCAUGAUGUUCAAAGUUCUCCUAAAGUUCCAGCUGUGGGAAACAGGCAAAUUGUGUGGGAAAUUCAGAUUUCUUUUCCUUUUUCUCAAAGCAUGUUACAAGCAUUUUGGGUCUAAGAGAACUGCCUGAAACUAUGUCACAGGUACACCACUCUUGACUGGAGACAGAAGGCAAAUUAAAAAUGUAUAUGAUUUUAAAACGUUUAUGAACUUUAACCCAACGUCCUGGUU